AUUGAACGCUGGCGGCAUGCUUUACACAUGCAAGUCGAACGGCAGCACGGGUGCUUGCACCUGGUGGCGAGUGGCGAACGGGUGAGUAAUGCAUCGGAACGUGCCCAUGAGUGGGGGGAUAGCCCGGCGAAAGCCGGAUUAAUACCGCAUACGCCCUUAGGGGGAAAGCGGGGGAUCUUCGGACCUCGCGCUAUUGGAGCGGCCGAUGUCGGAUUAGCUAGUAGGUGAGGUAAAGGCUCACCUAGGCGACGAUCCGUAGCUGGUCUGAGAGGAUGAUCAGCCACACUGGGACUGAGACACGGCCCAGACUCCUACGGGAGGCAGCAGUGGGGAAUUUUGGACAAUGGGCGCAAGCCUGAUCCAGCCAUGCCGCGUGAGUGAAGAAGGCCUCGGUUGUAAGUAC
RNAcentral lists this ribosomal RNA (403 nucleotides) under uncultured bacterium. Its description in RNAcentral is "bacterial SSU rRNA". It matches the Rfam family "Bacterial small subunit ribosomal RNA", at positions 29 to 431 of the family's 1533-position model. The record is from RNAcentral.